CGUGUAGGCGGAAAUGUAAGUCAGAUGUGAAAUCCCGGGGCUCAACCCCGGAACAGCAUUUGAAACUGCAUUCCUAGAGGAUAGGCGGAGAAAACGGAAUUCCACAAGUAGCGGUGAAAUGCGUAGAUAUGUGGAAGAACACCGGUGGCGAAGGCGGUUUUCUAGCUUAUUCCUGACGCUGAGGCGCGAAAGCAAGGGGAGCAAACA
RNAcentral lists this ribosomal RNA (207 nucleotides) under uncultured bacterium. Its description in RNAcentral is "partial 16S ribosomal RNA". It matches the Rfam family "Bacterial small subunit ribosomal RNA", at positions 568 to 774 of the family's 1533-position model. The record is from RNAcentral.